UGCCGCGUGGAUGAAGUGCCACAGCCCAUUCUUCGGAUUUGAAUUCUUCACCAACCCAGCCCACCACCUUCCUCUUCAUCGUUAGCAUUCAGAGAAAGGAAAAAGCACCCUUAAAACCCAACUAUGCUGGUGGCAUUUGUUCACGUCGAACCUCACAAAUAGCAGGUAAAAAAUUCCUGUUUGAGCCCGUUUGAGUAGCCCUACUGAGUUUUGUAGCAGAAGCAUUUUAGCAGCAGCUAUGGAGCGGUCAAAGAAGCGCAGCAGGGAUUUUCAGAUGGACAAUAACUUUACAGCAGAAGAAAUGGAAGCAGUGGAUGCUCUGCUAAGGCUUUGUGAUUUGGGUUGGUUUUUUGUUCAGUGGGGAGUCAAAAGGAGGUGAUCUUCUAUCGCUAGAAGUGGCUUUAGUGACACCCACAUUACCCACCAAUCCAAACUGUUUAACAGAAAUCCUUUGACGACACAUAAGGAAUUGAAAGAAACGGUGAAUCUCUUCAGAAAAGAGCAUAUUGAAAAAGGAGGAAGAGCAACUGAUGAAAACCUAUCAGGAGCUACGAGAAUGGACCCAUCAAUUAAAAUCACAGCAUGCCCUCAUCAAAUACAAGAGCAAAAGCUGCUCUCCACUCAGCCAACAUCGUCCGAUAGGGGCUCAAGAAUGGUACAAAAACUUUUAUAUCUGAUUUGAAUGCUCCUACCGAAGCUAUGUGACAUAAUUCCAAAUAGUUUCCAUGAAGAAACGCUUCUUUAAGCAAGAAAGUUGAUGCUGCUGAAGCAAGGAGGCGUAAAGUUUGAUCAAGCUGAAUUAUGCAGGGGCUAAUCUGUACUGCAUUAAAAUUUGAGAGCUCUACGAGUAGAAUCUAUAAAUAAAAGUGGGUUAGUCAAUUUUUCACAUUAUUCAGUUUAAUAGAGAUUCUUUUGAUUUUUUGUCUGUCCUUUCAAAUAAUUUAGAAUGAAAAAGUGUUGAUGAAAUGUAUCUUGCAACCCAAGGGGGUCACUGAGAAACCCUGUUGCU
Molecule: long non-coding RNA, 1009 nt
Organism: Cryptomeria japonica (Japanese cedar)
Lineage: Eukaryota; Viridiplantae; Streptophyta; Pinopsida; Cupressales; Cupressaceae
Exons: 4
Source: RefSeq, a predicted model, not a curated record